This 379-nucleotide unclassified non-coding RNA is filed under the name uncultured Rhodanobacteraceae bacterium. RNAcentral describes it as "contains 16S-23S intergenic spacer region". The record is from RNAcentral. Lineage: Bacteria; Pseudomonadati; Pseudomonadota; Gammaproteobacteria; Lysobacterales; Rhodanobacteraceae.
UCCGGUUUGUCACCGGCAGUCUCCCUAGAGUUCCCACCAUUACGUGCUGGCAACUAGGGACAAGGGUUGCGCUCGUUGCGGGACUUAACCCAACAUCUCACGACACGAGCUGACGACAGCCAUGCAGCACCUGUCUUGUCGUUCCUUGCGGCACUCCCGCAUCUCUGCAGGAUUCGACAGAUGUCAAGGCCAGGUAAGGUUCUUCGCGUUGCAUCGAAUUAAACCACAUACUCCACCGCUUGUGCGGGCCCCCGUCAAUUCCUUUGAGUUUCAGUCUUGCGACCGUACUCCCCAGGCGGCGAACUUAACGCGUUAGCUUCGACACUGAGUACCGUAAUGUACCCAACAUCCAGUUCGCAUCGUUUAGGGCGUGGACUAC